AUCUUGGGUUUUGUGAACAAAAUUUGUUUAUUUGGAGCAAGGUUUUGUGUUGAAGCUUUGUAGGUGAAGCUUUGGUGUUGAAGCUUUGUAGAUGAAGCUUUCGAGGUGAAGCUUUGAUGGUGAAGCUUUGUAGAUGAAAGUAUGUAGAGGGAGCUUUCUAGGUGAAGAUUUUUUAGGUGAAGCUUUGUAGGUGAAGCUUUUUUAAGUGAAGCUUUUCGGGUGAAGUUUUUUUUGGGUGAAGCUUUGUGGGUGAAGCUUUUUAGGUGAAGCUUUGUGGGUGAAGCUUUUUAGGUGAAGCUUUGUAGGUGAAGCUUUUUUAAGUGAAGCUUUUCGGGUGAAGUUUUUUUUUU
Molecule: long non-coding RNA, 350 nt
Filed under: Malus domestica (apple)
Lineage: Eukaryota; Viridiplantae; Streptophyta; Magnoliopsida; Rosales; Rosaceae
Description: long non-coding RNA (MDOM_LNC000218)
Source: RNAcentral